Molecule: ribosomal RNA, 410 nt
Filed under: uncultured bacterium
Lineage: Bacteria
Description: bacterial SSU rRNA
Rfam family: Bacterial small subunit ribosomal RNA
Source: RNAcentral
GACGAACGCUGGCGGCGUGCUUAACACAUGCAAGUCGAACGAGAAGAGAUGAGAAGCUUGCUUCUUAUUGAUUCGAGUGGCAAACGGGUGAGUAACGCGUAAGCAACCUGCCCUUCAGAUGGGGACAACAGCUGGAAACGGUUGCUAAUACCGAAUACGUUCUUUUUGUCGCAUGGCAGAGGGAAGAAAGGGAGGCUCUUCGGAGCUUUCGCUGAAGGAGGGGCUUGCGUCUGAUUAGCUAGUUGGAGGGUAACGGCCCACCAAGGCGACGAUCAGUAGCCGGUCUGAGAGGAUGAACGGCCACAUUGGGACUGAGACACGGCCCAGACUCCUACGGGAGGCAGCAGUGGGGAAUCUUCCGCAAUGGACGAAAGUCUGACGGAGCAACGCCGCGUGAACGAUGACGGCCU